RNAcentral lists this unclassified non-coding RNA (418 nucleotides) under fungal sp. Its description in RNAcentral is "partial internal transcribed spacer region". The stretch from base 1 to 46 matches the Rfam family "Eukaryotic small subunit ribosomal RNA", at positions 1786 to 1831 of the family's 1831-position model. The record is from RNAcentral. Lineage: Eukaryota; Fungi.
AAGUCGUAACAAGGUUUCCGUAGGUGAACCUGCGGAAGGAUCAUUAACACGUAUCCAAACGUUAAACCCCCCCCGUGAACCUUCAUCGUGCUCUAGUGGGCCACUGAUAAACACAGCAAUUCCUGGUAAAUCAUUGUCUGAACAAGCCUUUGAGUCAGGAACCUCUGUGCAGUGCGAGCUACACCCACUAUAGAAGCGCUAGUUCCAUCGGCAUUGUUUCCCCAAGCAGCCAGUGCGUGAAAGUGGCAACUGACUGUGCAAGGAUAACGCUUAACGAUUUUGCAGCCGCAACACGCGGGCAGAGCUUUGCCAAAGGGUCCCCAUGCCCCCUAAUAACCCCACAGUUUAAUGUGAAGCUCAGUGUAAUACAUUGGGUAAAAAAACCGAACAACUGUUAACAAUGGAUAUCUUGGUUCCC